UUUUUUUGAGAUGGAGUUUCACUCUUGUCACCUAGGCUGGAGUGCAGUGGCAAGUGGCGAGAUUUCAGCUCACUGCAACCUCUGCCUCCCGGGUGCAAGGGAUUCUCCUGCCUCAGCCUUCUGAGUAGCUGGGAUUACAGGCACUUGCCACCAUGCCCAGCUAAUUUUUGUAUUUUUAGCACGAGGUCAGGAGAUCAAGACCAUCCUGGCUAACACGAUGAAACCCCAUCUCUACUAAAAAUACAAAAAUUAGCUGGGCGUGGUGGCAGGCGCCUGUAGCUUCACUGUCCUACAUCCGGAAUACACUCCUCUGCCAAACAGUAAGACCCCAAAAGUGCUUUUUUGAAACAUGAAGAAUCUAUGCUAUCAGAAGUAUAUUUAUCCUAUAUAAUUUAUGGCAAACGUAUUUAAAAAUGUGGCCACACGUUGCUAUCAAUGUUUGAUGUGCAACAGAAGGAGCUUUUUAUGUAGAAUCAGAAAAAUAAGUUCCAAUCUUAGCUCUGCAAAGUACUAUCUAUAUAACUUUGGGCAAAUCAUUUAAUCUCCUUAAGCAUGCAGAAGAAUGCUUAGUGUAGGGUGUCACUAAACACAUACCAAAUAAACACAUAGCAGA
RNAcentral lists this long non-coding RNA (613 nucleotides) under Homo sapiens (human). Its description in RNAcentral is "non-protein coding lnc-SPATA17-6:1". Lineage: Eukaryota; Metazoa; Chordata; Mammalia; Primates; Hominidae. The record is from RNAcentral.